GGCAUUUGUGUCUUAUUUUAGGGUUCGUAUUACCUAGUCCUCAGUUAUCUAUGUUGUGUCUUGUGUACUAUUAUUUGUCUGUUUGUCUUUUUAAUUUUUAGCCAUGGUGUUGUCAGUUUAUUUUCGAUCUUUGAGUUUGAAUGUCCAACUGGCAUUUUUCGCCCCUCCUUUGUCAUGUCAAGCAUUUAAUGCCUUACCUUAUGAGAUGGGUUUU
This 214-nucleotide long non-coding RNA is filed under the name Mytilus galloprovincialis (Mediterranean mussel). The record is from RNAcentral. Lineage: Eukaryota; Metazoa; Mollusca; Bivalvia; Mytilida; Mytilidae.